RNAcentral lists this ribosomal RNA (429 nucleotides) under Gemmatimonadota bacterium. RNAcentral describes it as "Gemmatimonadetes bacterium partial 16S ribosomal RNA". It matches the Rfam family "Bacterial small subunit ribosomal RNA", at positions 355 to 776 of the family's 1533-position model. Lineage: Bacteria; Pseudomonadati; Gemmatimonadota. The record is from RNAcentral.
UAGGGAAUCUUCGGCAAUGGACGAAAGUCUGACCGAGCAACGCCGCGUGAGUGAAGAAGGUUUUCGGAUCGUAAAACUCUGUUGUUAGAGAAGAACAAGGACGUUAGUAACUGAACGUCCCCUGACGGUAUCUAACCAGAAAGCCACGGCUAACUACGUGCCAGCAGCCGCGGUAAUACGUAGGUGGCAAGCGUUGUCCGGAUUUAUUGGGCGUAAAGCGAGCGCAGGCGGUCUCUUAAGUCUGAUGUGAAAGCCCCCGGCUCAACCGGGGAGGGUCAUUGGAAACUGGGAGACUUGAGUGCAGAAGAGGAGAGUGGAAUUCCAUGUGUAGCGGUGAAAUGCGUAGAUAUAUGGAGGAACACCAGUGGCGAAGGCGGCUCUCUGGUCUGUAACUGACGCUGAGGCUCGAAAGCGUGGGGAGCAAACAGG